Molecule: ribosomal RNA, 1494 nt
Filed under: uncultured bacterium
Lineage: Bacteria
Description: bacterial SSU rRNA
Rfam family: Bacterial small subunit ribosomal RNA
Source: RNAcentral
AGAGUUUGAUCCUGGCUCAGGAUGAACGCUGGCGGCGUGCUUAACACAUGCAAGUUGAACGAAGCUCUUUGGACAGAUUCCUUCGGGAUGAAGUACAUUGAGACUUAGUGGCGAACGGGUGAGUAACACGUGAGCAACCAACCCUUGACAGUGGAAUAACAACGGGAAACCGUUGCUAAUACCACAUAAAAUCUUUAUACGGCAUCGUAUUUAGAUCAAAGAUUUAUCGGUCAAGGACGGGCUCGCGUCCGAUUAGGUAGUUGGUAAGGUAACGGCUUACCAAGCCUACGAUCGGUAGCCGGACUGAGAGGUCGAUCGGCCACAUUGGGACUGAGAUACGGCCCAGACUCCUACGGGAGGCAGCAGUGGGGAAUAUUGGGCAAUGGACGCAAGUCUGACCCAGCGACGCCGCGUGAAGGACGAAGGCAUUCGUGUUGUAAACUUCUUUGGAGAGGGACGAAAUUGACGGUACCUCUCGAACAAGCCACGGCUAACUACGUGCCAGCAGCCGCGGUAAUACGUAGGUGGCAAGCGUUAUCCGGAAUUACUGGGUGUAAAGGGCGCGCAGGCGGUCUUGCAAGUCGGAUGUGAAAGAUCAAGGCUCAACCUUGACAGGUCAUCCGAAACUGUAAGACUUGAGUGUCAGAGGGGAAAGUGGAAUUCCUAGUGGAGCGGUAAAAUGCGCAGAUAUUAGGAGGAACACCGGUGGCGAAGGCGACUUUCUGGCUGACAACUGACGCUGAGGCGCGAAAGCGUGGGGAGCAAACAGGAUUAGAUACCCUGGUAGUCCACGCCGUAAACGAUGAUUACUAGGUGUAGGGGGUAUCGACUCCCUCUGUGCCACAGUUAACGCAGUAAGUAAUCCACCUGGGGAGUACGGCCGCAAGGUUAAAACUCAAAGGAAUUGACGGGGACCCGCACAAGCAGCGGAGCAUGUGGUUUAAUUCGAUGCAACGCGAAGAACCUUACCAGGGCUUGACAUCCCCCGGAUAGGAUUAGAGAUAAUCCCUUCUCUUCGGAGACUGGGGAGACAGGUGGUGCAUGGUUGUCGUCAGCUCGUGUCGUGAGAUGUUGGGUUAAGUCCCGCAACGAGCGCAACCCUUGCCUUUAGUUGCCAACAGUAAGGCUGUGCACUCUAAAGGGACUGCCGAUGAGAAAUCGGAGGAAGGUGGGGAUGACGUCAAAUCAUCAUGCCCUUUAUGUCCUGGGCUACACACGUGCUACAAUGGUCGGUACAGAGGGCAGCUACACAGCGAUGUGAUGCUAAUCCCUCAAAGCCGAUCCCAGUUCGGAUUGUAGGCUGCAACUCGCCUGCAUGAAGCCGGAGUUGCUAGUAAUCGUGGAUCAGAAUGCCACGGUGAAUGCGUUCCCGGGUCUUGUACACACCGCCCGUCACACCAUGGGAGUUAGCAAUACCCGAAGCCAGUGAGCCAACCGUAAGGAAGCAGCUGUCGAAGGUAGGGUUAAUGACUGGGGUGAAGUCGUAACAAGGUA